GUUCGCUUAUUACUCCCUCCGUCCCUCUGUACUAAUACAAGUGCAACCUAGUAUAGAUGUGACAUCGUAGUAUUAUGAAUCUAGAUGCUAUAUUAGUUGUACUUGUAUUGGGACGGAGGGAGUAUUAAUUAAGAAG
This 136-nucleotide unclassified non-coding RNA is filed under the name Oryza sativa (Asian cultivated rice). RNAcentral describes it as "partial microRNA MIR486n precursor". Lineage: Eukaryota; Viridiplantae; Streptophyta; Magnoliopsida; Poales; Poaceae. The record is from RNAcentral.